UGCUCUUCUUGGUUUGCUCUACAUUGAUGAUUCUCUGUACUUAAUCAAGGGUUAAAGCAGAUGGUUGUGAUAUAUUGUUUCCUAAUGAGAAGAAAUGAAAUCAAGUGUAUUUUUUUUUGAGCACAAAGCAGUGAUCAAGAUUUGUUUUACUUACAAUAAUGUUUACAGGAAUUAUUUCCCACAUCUUAAAGGAUGCAAACUUUCUAAUUCCUUUUUUUUUUUCUCUUGACAGAAGCCCAAGACAAUGCAUCUUUCCAGUAACUCCUGUAAAAAAUGCACACGAGACUUUGAACAAAAACAUGGCCUGAAGAAAGUUAAUGAAGUUGUUAAUAGUCUGUGUCACAAAUGAGAAGACUGUGGAUGAUUCUGGUUUUUUCCUUCAGGCCUUGAUGAGUCAUGAAAAUGAUAGAAAGCUAAUUUUUCCAAUGGAGCAGGUUCUGUAAGGAAAAGAAGAGGAAAAAUAAAGAAAAAGUUAAAUACAAACAUCUGAUGACAAGAGCUACAAUGGUGACCAAUGUGUUGUAAGCUGGAAUUUUCUUGAAUUUUAAUGGAUGUUUUGACCUAAUUUACAGAGUCUUUCUUGUUAAUUAACUUUUUUAGAAAGGUCAAACCCUUUUUUUCUGCUAAAGGUCAUGUACUUCAACUAAGAAAUCUUUUCUCAUCUACAGAAUUAUACAGCAACAUAAAAUUCAGGGUUGUGCAGUUAUCCAGCAGCAGGCUCAUCCACUGGAGCCUGGAGAUAGAUGUAAUUUCACACAGAAGGAAAAAGACAUUCCAAAAUCUCAUGUGGACCUGCUGAUUGUGAGAGAAGUGUGAGAAGAAUGCUGCUUGUAAAACAAGGGUGCCACAUUUAGAUAAAAGCAUUGAUUUCAGUGUCAGAGAUGCUGUGAAUGUUUCAGUUCAAUAAUGCAGUUUUUUUACUUCUGAAUUACUUCUGAAAGUGGCUGCACCUCUUGGUCAGUCAGGUAAAGUGUUACCCAAAGGCUCACAGGCCUUACAUACAGCACACCUCAAAUGGGAAUGGCACUGCAGGAAUAUUGACAUUUUCAAAUCAUUCUUCCUGUUUGAAUAACAACUGAAUUAACUGCCCCUCAAAAAUAAAAAAAAAUUAAAAAAAAGCAAAAAAAACCCCAAAAUAAAAAAGGAAACAGAAAAUGCUUUUUCAUUAAUUUGGUGAACCUGCUCAGAAAUAUGGAAGGGACACAGAAAACAUUUAAACUGGAUAUUAUAUGAAAACUAGAGUGGUCACAGGAAUUACAACACUGUGUUGUGGGGGAAAGCAUCUGUCACUAUCCUAAUUGGGGAAUUUCCCUGACAGGAAAUAGGAUCAAUUCCACUCCACAAUUUCUUCAUGCAAACUACAUAAAAUAUUUUAUAAAACUUGAGUGAUUUCCAUAACAGAAUUUUGGCAGUUUAAAGCAAAACGUGUUGCUAUGACAGUUCCUACAAAUCUUUUAGCUUUGUUUUGUAUUAUAAAUAUGUCAAAAUGAAGCCAUUUCUGUCCAAACAAAAAAAUUCCAGGCUUUUUAAAAAUAAUAUCUUAUUUGCCAAAGUCAAGAUGAAGGCUAAUUUCAAAUGCUGUAACUUAGAUCUGCAUAACCAUAAACCCACAAGGACAUAGCUUUAAUCUUAUAAAUAAGUCAUGUCAUUAGAUACAGUAUUCUUAGUUUAAUUGACUGCAUUUGCUACUCUGUAUAACAAUGAUUGAAAAAUAAAAGACUUUUAACAUUGGUGAAA
Molecule: long non-coding RNA, 1737 nt
Organism: Parus major (Great Tit)
Lineage: Eukaryota; Metazoa; Chordata; Aves; Passeriformes; Paridae
Exons: 2
Source: RefSeq, a predicted model, not a curated record